AUCUAUUAUCUGAUCCAUUCAUUUUUAGUCGACGAUGUAAGGUCUUAUGUGUGAUAUUUGUGGAUCUUGUUGAUGUUUCGGAUGUUUGUACGGCUUUGGUACAUGCUUGCCGGGCACACAUGCCGGAUGAUGCAGACUGAUUGUCGUGUGUGUGUGUGUGUGUGUGUGUGUGUGUGUGUGUGUGUGUGUGUGUGUGUGUGUGUGUGUGUGUGUGUGUGUGUGUGUGCGUGUGUGCGCGCCCCCAGGUAGUCUGAAUGUGAGCCAGUGGGGCAUCCGCGACUUUGACAGCUGCAUGGAGCCUUUUCACCAUGCAGUCGUCAUCUCAGAUAAUAUCCCCACGCUCUCUCUUUUCGACAAUUUGUGUAUGAAUAACCGAAUAAUUUCACCUCUUUGUUCCAUCCGCACUACCUCCAAACCAAAAUAAAGAUGCCUUUUAGUAUUAAAGUGGUAGAAAAUUACAGGUAAUUAUCUUUGACGGUAAAAACGCUGUAAUCAGCGGGCUACAUCAAAAAUUACCCUAAUUAUGCCUGCAUUUAUGAGAAAGAGGGGGAAAAAAGCCUCACUUGGAUAAAAACCCAGCAAAUUGUCCCAAAUAUCUCCUUCAUAUUGAACGCCACUGCAGCUGGCUGCUUUGUUCGGCAUCGAUCCCGCGGAGCUUGGCAUUUAACGGCCUGCAUUAGGACGGAGAGACGGCAGAAAACAUUUUGUCAAUACUUCCAAUAAUUGAGGGUGGAAUGACCUGCGUGCGGCGAGAGUCUUUGGAGGUGAAUGUAGGCAGCGGCGGUGCAGGGUCCCGGGUCCCCCCGACCGCCACCGCCACCACGACCACCAACCACCACGAGGGACUUUAAUCUCUCCGUCCCGUGAUAAUUCUCACUCAAGGGCAGCGCCUUCCUAUUGGUCAUCCGGGCGCAACGUCAUCAUGCAGGGCUGUGCGCUUCACGGAGACUUGAGCUGGAGUUAACCCACCUUACCAGCUCCGACUACAACUUCGAGGCGGGGGGAAUAAUAUACGGGAUGGGAAAGACGCCUAAUUCCCACAGACAAGCUGAGCUGCUUGGAAUUGCCCUAUCGCUUUUCACUUUCUUUUUCUGCCCAACCCAAACAACCAAAUUACGCACGAGAAUGCACAUUGUUGUGCACUAGCAUCACGAACCAGCAGCACAUAUGUGCUCAUUUGAUUUUUCCCAAUCGCGUCGCACUCUUAUUUUACUCCCUGAUAGGAAAAAGCAUUAACAUAUACAUUGUAUGGAAAAUAUAUAUCUAAGUAAAUAAAGAUGUGUGGUGUAUCCUAUCUUGACUUGUAGGACCAAGCAGCCGAUUUGUGUACAUUUAUUUCCACUAAUAACUCUUCAUGUUUGCACUGCCCCUAACGAUGAUCAUGAAAUAGAUUCGCCCCUCCCCCCCCUGCCCCCCUUUUGCAGCCCUCCCUGUUUACUAGAACAAUUUAUCCCAUCAAAUUGGGCUGACGAUUGAAAAGAAACAGGCACACGGCACAGCUAAUAAUUACAUUAACAAUAACAACAUCCCCAAAAUGCAAUGGGUGACUUGGGGAUUCCAAAAUAAUGUGUCAUCUUUUCUCACUAUAAUGAGGCCCGAGAGCUUCUUUACAAAAUCAAAUUACAUUUUAAAAUCAAAGAAUACCAUUUCUAUUUUUUUUUUCUCCUCUGCGGAGUGUAGCAUUAAAUCAUCUCAUAAAAAAGGCCAUGAAAAUACUGUAAUUACAUUCAGUCAAGGUACUGCGAAGACCUAUUUGAUUAGCGGGCACACUUUUCCUCAAAUUGCAGCCAUAAAAUUUAGAAUAAUUCCCCCGUAAUAAUGGUGGACUGGCUUUAUUUUGGGAGGUUGGAAUAAAAGUGGAUAUAGCAUAAAUUACACUCUAAUUACACGCCAGUGUCGCCUCAAUUAUCCUCUUAUCAAGAACGGUCGUCUCAACGCGGCGUUUAGUUUCACUUUUCCGCCUAACAAGAACUUGGUACCUUGCUAUUAUCGUCAACUCCGGUUGUUAUUUACUUUCUGCGAUUUAAAAGUACAACAACCCGGCUGCCGGAUCAUCAUUUUGACACCAGCAGGAGACCAGAUGAGAAGCACGCAGGCGGGCGAUGCUGCGACACAUCCACGGGGAUUUAUUUCCAACGUAGUUUUUUUUUUUUAAUUUUUAUUAUCGGAAUAAAAUAGACGGAUGGGAGGAGGGUUGAAGGUACGCCUCCAUGCAUCCCCUCAUGGCAGCUCCAAGCCACCCCUUUCCCCCUCCCAAUCCGUCUCCCCCUGGUUGGCUUCCACAGCUGUGGUGAGUGAGGGCGCAGAUGACCGGAGAUUUGGCCCCUGGGAGAGCGCCGAGCCAUCCUGGUGCUAUUAGACUGGUGGCUAAUAAUAGGUGUUUCAGACUCGGGGAAGAUCAAUCAGAGGGGAAUGGGGAAUGUUCAGGCCAGCGCUUUUUACACAUCGGCCCAGAUGGAUGAAAUUACACUUGUCAGUUUUUAGUUGCAUUACUCCCAAAUUGGUUGUCUACUCUUUUUUUUCACCCCCCUCCCACCUCUCGCUGCCUCAUUCCUGCUCUUGUUUUUCCUCCGUUUUUUUUUUUUUUUUUUUUGCCUUGGUUCAUGUGUCAAUGUCCUGCUAAAAGGAUUCAGCAGUGAAGUCCCUGUCAUUUUGUGCCUGGCUUCUCAAGGAACAACCCUGCAUAUUCACUUAAAGGAGAUUAUUUCCCUGUAAACAUUUUUCACGUUAUGGCCAAGCGCAUGAUUGUGGAAAAUGUGCAGAUGACAUUUUGUACGUGGAGUGUAUCAUCGAGAUGAAAACGUGUCAGGGAUAUUCAAAUAUUCUCUCAUGCUGUUUUUGCUGCUCGGUGUAAUUUGAAUGUAAUUCUGAGAAAACUUCAAUGGACUGUCAUUAUUUUUGCUUUAAAUGCCUUGCUAAUGUGGAAUUCAUUGAGAAACAUUUCCCUGUAUGAGAAAAGAAAAUUCUAAUGACCGUGUCAAAGAUAAAGUUCUUUACAA
Hippocampus comes (tiger tail seahorse) is the source of this 2999-nucleotide long non-coding RNA. RefSeq lists it as uncharacterized. The record is from RefSeq and is a predicted model, not a curated record. The transcript has 4 exons. NCBI's taxonomy places the organism in Eukaryota, Metazoa, Chordata, Actinopteri, Syngnathiformes, Syngnathidae.